Molecule: non-coding RNA, 657 nt
Organism: Paramuricea clavata
Lineage: Eukaryota; Metazoa; Cnidaria; Anthozoa; Malacalcyonacea; Plexauridae
Source: the annotation of a GenBank genome assembly
UGAUUAACUCUCAAAUAGGCGCUUCUUAUUGGAUGACAUUUCCACUUAACUAUGAUUAACUUUAAUCACUUUUUUUAUACAACCGGUCCCUGGAAAUUAUUAUUCCCAUGCAUUUUAUCCUCUUAUAGUAUGGGUCUUAUUUUGGAAUGGCAAUUUGUGCUGCUGAUUUUAAUGGUGAUAGGUAAGUGAUUUUAUAUACGAAUAUUGUAUAAUGAAAUCAGUGACGGACACUGUCGCCUCUCCCAAAACCUGCAAACCUUUGAAUGUAACCACAGCUGAAACAAUGAUUUCAUAACAGUGAAAGUCUGGAUAUAGGUUAUAAUUUAUGAAGAUUUGCGUAAAAUUUAAGCCCAAAAGUCCUAGUAUAUGUUGACGGUCACCCCCCAUGCAAUGCUGUAUUUUGUGAAGUAAAACAUAGAGUUCAUGCAUUUGAAAAACCUCAGAUUGCCAGUAAUAUUUGGUUAUGUUGUGCUGCUAUAUACGUAAUCAUUGUACUUUUAAUUAUUAGCAUUUCUGAAAUCGUCGUCGGAGCUCCAUAUUUCGCCGAUUCUGUUGGCUCGCCAAGCAUUGGAAAAGUUUAUGUGUACAGUAUUAAGGUUGGAAACACGUACUGUGUAUUGAAAAUACUCGAUCUCUAAAUUUGUGUUGAAACCAAGA